AUCCAGCUGACGAGUCCCGAAUAGGACUAAAUGAGGAUCCUGGAU
This 45-nucleotide non-coding RNA is filed under the name Schistosoma curassoni. The record is from RNAcentral. Lineage: Eukaryota; Metazoa; Platyhelminthes; Trematoda; Strigeidida; Schistosomatidae.